AGCACUUGAAGUGGGUAAAUAAAAUAAAUACUUAAUUAGGCUUCUUAGUUACAAAAAAAACAAAAACCUCUCAACAUCAACAAAGUGGUAGCAUGAAAACAUGCAUCCUAUCAAGCAACAAAAAGAAAACAUGGCAAGAAGGGAAAUCAGUUGGUCAGCACAAACAAGCAAAUUAACCAACAAACAAGUCUUAAGUGUACCAAGGGUUAACAUUUAAAUGACCUCCUCCAGUCAUUCUAGUGUGGAUGGCAUCCCCUGGUGGCCUGGAUGACAGUACUAUCAUUUUUCCCACUGAGCAGCCUUAAAGUCCUCAUAGCCAUAGGAUACAUGCAUACAUCCACAAAAUACUGUAUAAUGGAAACAAGUAUUCCAUUACUUGUGCUGUACCUGACCCUGAACCUUUUAACGGUGGCUAUGUGUGUGUUUAUGUGUGUAGGCAAUGUCACAGCCCUGUGUUGGGAUCCUGUGCAAAGGGUUUUAUUCUCUGGAAGUUCUGAUCAUUCAAUCAUCAUGUGGGACAUUGGAGGCCGUAAAGGAACAGCUUUUGAGCUGCAGGGACACAAUGAUAAAGUGCAGGGUUUGUGUUACGCUUCACACACCCGUCAACUCAUUUCCUGUGGCUCAGAUGGAGGAAUAGUUAUCUGGAACAUGGACGUCACACGGCAGGAGACUCCGGAGUGGCUUGACAGUGACUCGUGUCAGAAGUGUGAACAGCCGUUCUUCUGGAAUUUUAAACAGAUGUGGGACAGUAAGAAAAUCGGCCUGCGACAGGUACAGUGCACA
Molecule: long non-coding RNA, 783 nt
Organism: Sinocyclocheilus grahami
Lineage: Eukaryota; Metazoa; Chordata; Actinopteri; Cypriniformes; Cyprinidae
Exons: 3
Source: RefSeq, a predicted model, not a curated record